Molecule: ribosomal RNA, 423 nt
Filed under: uncultured bacterium
Lineage: Bacteria
Description: bacterial SSU rRNA
Rfam family: Bacterial small subunit ribosomal RNA
Source: RNAcentral
UAUUGGACAAUGGGCGCAAGCCUGAUCCAGCAAUGCCGCGUGUGUGAAGAAGGCCUGCGGGUUGUAAAGCACUUUCGGUUGGGAAGAACAGGCUUUGGGCGAAUACCCUGGAGCACUGACGGUACCACCAGAAGAAGCACCGGCUAACUCCGUGCCAGCAGCCGCGGUAAUACGGAGGGUGCAAGCGUUAAUCGGAAUUACUGGGCGUAAAGCGCACGUAGGUGGUUUGUUAAGUCGGAUGUGAAAUCCCCGGGCUCAACCUGGGAAUGGCAUUCGAGACUGGCAGGCUAGAGUCUGGUAGAGGGUGGUGGAAUUCCAGGUGUAGCGGUGAAAUGCGUAGAUAUCUGGAGGAACAUCAGUGGCGAAGGCGGCCACCUGGACUAAGACUGACACUGAGGUGCGAAAGCGUGGGUAGCAAACAGG